Molecule: ribosomal RNA, 459 nt
Filed under: uncultured bacterium
Lineage: Bacteria
Description: SSU rRNA
Rfam family: Bacterial small subunit ribosomal RNA
Source: RNAcentral
AGAAUCAACGCUGGCGGCGUGCCUAACACAUGCAAGUCGCACGAGAAAGGGUAGCAAUACCUGAGUACAGUGGCGCACGGGUGAGUAACACGUGAAUGAUCUACCUCCGAGUGGGGAAUAACCUAGGGAAACCUGGGCUAAUACCGCAUAACACUUACGAGUCAAAGCAGCAAUGCGCUUGGAGAGGAGUUCGCGGCAGAUUAGCUAGUUGGCGGGGUAAUGGCCCACCAAGGCAAUGAUCUGUAUCCGGCCUGAGAGGGCGCACGGACACACUGGAACUGAAACACGGUCCAGACUCCUACGGGAGGCAGCAGUGGGGAAUUUUGCGCAAUGGGGGAAACCCUGACGCAGCAACGCCGCGUGGAGGAUGAAAUCCCUUGGGAUGUAAACUCCUUUCGAUCGGGACGAUUAUGACGGUACCGGAAGAGAAGCCCCGGCUAACUUCGCGCCAGCAGCCGC